RNAcentral lists this long non-coding RNA (855 nucleotides) under Salmo salar (Atlantic salmon). RNAcentral describes it as "lncRNA (ENSSSAG00000090201.1)". The record is from RNAcentral. Lineage: Eukaryota; Metazoa; Chordata; Actinopteri; Salmoniformes; Salmonidae.
UACUGUCAGGUUAUAUUAUCUCCAUCGUCAGUAUUACUGUCAGGUUAUAUUAUCUCCAUCGUCAGUGUUACUGUCAGGUUAUAUUAUCUCCAUCGUCAGUAUUACUGUCCGGUUAUAUUCUCUCAUCAUCGGUAACUACCAGUUGCUCCCAAUUCUCCAGACCAGUACCCUCCUCCCGUCCUCCCCAAACACACACACACACCUCCUUUUAAGUCUUUCUUCAGCAGCUGGUAGUGAGUGGUCUUUCCUUUGUUUACAGUGCUUACUGCUAACCUAACCAUGGGAUCGGACUGAACAUACUUGGGGCCGCAUUUAUGAACUGUGACCCCUGCCUGACCUGUGACAAGUCACAUCAUCCUCAGAGAGUGGCACCAGCAUGGCAGGGCUGGCGUUGGAGUGGAGGGGCUGACGUCAUGCUCUCACCAUCCUGACAAAUCCCUCAGUACUAGAACGAGAGAGGGAGGAAAAGCCUUAGAGGGAGACAGACAGCCCUUGACAGUGGAACGAGAGAGAGAGAGAGGAUAGAGAAGAAGGGAAAAAGAAGGGAGGAGAGGAGAGGGAUUAAGCCUCAUCAAAAGAAACAACAGUUCUCUUUUACAAUACAUCUCAUUGACUUACCAUGCCAGUAAAGCUCAUUGAAUGGAACUGAGAGUACAAAAGUCACAUCAGUCUUUUCAACCACUCUCCUCUUUCCUGGUUGUUGUUGUAGGCCCAAAUUACAAUAUAAUGGUUAGAUAAAUAACAUCAGUCAACUUACCUGGUAACAUAAGGGUUGGAUAAAUAACAUCAGUCAACUUACCUGGUAACAUAAGGGUUAGAUAAAUAACAUCAGUCAACUUACCUGGUAACAUAAGG